GGUGUGUGAUAAACUUUUGAAAGAAUAUAAUUCUACUCAUAACGCAGGCAGAAGAGCUGACCACGGAGAUCUUGUGAUAUGCUCUGCCUGUUGUGAUACGUUAAGUUGUAACAAAAAGAAAUGCAAUGAAGUUAUUAAAAGUAAGUUGCUAUAAAGGGCAAUGCAAACAGUUUUGAAAUAUUAACAAAAAGAUAGGGGUAUACAAAAUGGAAUAAAUCCGGAAUAGAACAUAUAAAUGGGGUAGCAUUUUAACAUCCACACUCGGAGAAAACUUUUAAAUUGUCAUACACUUAUUAUAAAGUAAUAAACAAUAACUUAAAAAGCGAUCAUCGGAGGAAUUUUUAAACGGAUUGUUCCUUAUCAAAUUUCAAAAAAUAAACUUCAAAAAAUAGAAAACUACUGUUCUAUUCCGUCCUUGUAACAUGUAUUUCCUCAUUUAGAGAAUGGUAUUAUACACUUGCUUUUAUAACUAGCUUAAUUAAUAACCAUUCAUUUAUAUGACAUUUGCAUGAAAUUCCUUGAUAUUGACGACAAUGUGUGAGCGAAACAAACAGACGAAAUACGUAAAAUGCCAGCGAUUGGGGUACAGCAGUCAACAAUAUGUUAUAGUUUUAACCACUAUAAAAAAAAACCUAAAAGCUUUGUCAACAAAAGAAAAUAAAAAAACCCGCCAUGUCUCUUUAUAGACAAAGCACAUAAUCAAACAUGAAAGACAAGUAUCCAAAAAGUGACCAUAGUACACGAAAUCAUCCUCUAAAUGACUAUGGUUAUGCAUGUUCAGGGAAUAAAUCAAUUUCGAAAACAGCAAACAAUGACAAAAUGAGUUUAGUGUACAAUGUCUUUUCUUUUUGCUUCAACUUUAAAGUAUAUUUUGAAUUGAAAAUGCAUUGGUGCUUAACACUGUUUUGUUUUUUGGUUGACAUGAACUGCCAAAAACUAAAAAUGAACUGUGGCUGAAAAGGUUAUUCAGUAACUUAAUUGAAGAAAAUUAAAAAAAAGGUAUAUAUAAAAAAGAAGAUGUGGUAUGAUUGCCAAUGAGACAACUAUCCACAAAAGACCAAAAUGACACAGACAUUAACAACUAUAGGUCACCGUACGGCCUUCAACAAUGAGCAAAGCCCAUACCGCAUAGUCAGCUAUAAUAGGCCCCGAUAAGACAAUGUAAAACAAUUCAAACGAGAAAACUAACGGCCUUAUUUAUGUAAAAAAUGAACGAAAAACAAAUAUAUAACACAUAAACAAACGACAACCAUAUGAUUGUCUUCGUAAAAUCCUGGUUGUCGUUUGUUUAUGUGUUACAUAUUUGUUUUUCGUUUAAUUUUUGUACAUAGAUUAGGCCGUUAGUUUUCUCGUUUGAAUUAAUUUACAUUGUCAUUUCGGGGCCUUUUAUAGCCGACUAUGCGGUAUGGGCUUUGUUCAUUGUUGAAGGCCGUACGGUGACCUAUAGUUGUUAAUUUCUGUGUCAUUUUGGUCUCUUGUGGAUAGUUGUCUCAUUGGCAAUCAUACCACGCAUCUUUUUUUUAUAUAUACAGUAUAAACACAAUCAAAGACACCUUUCUCUUCAGGUGUUCACAAGAAAUUAUUCUGUCUUAUUCUACAUUUCUAUUUACAUUUCAAUUGAGAGUAAUACAUUUUUAAUCAUAUUGCAUGUGUUUUCUUUUAUAGCUCAAAUAUGUUAUGAUACAAGUGUUUGUGGUUGAGAAGGACAAGAAAGGAUUACUUGCGCACUCAUUCUGCUUCAGUUCAACAUUGUAUAAUAAAAGUGUUUUGAAUUUCAUACUUACAUGUUUGGCCUCUAAACCAAUUGGAACCACACUUUUAAAAAUUUUGAAAAGGAAAAUGACGAAAACAAUCAAAUAACUCAAAACAGACGUAACGAUUACACUAUUGUCAAAAGAUGAAACAAAUCUAA
Molecule: long non-coding RNA, 1912 nt
Filed under: Mytilus galloprovincialis (Mediterranean mussel)
Lineage: Eukaryota; Metazoa; Mollusca; Bivalvia; Mytilida; Mytilidae
Source: RNAcentral